GCAGCUGCGCUUGUCUGUGAUAACCUUGUGCGAAUCGCUCGUCCCCGUGCCCUAUCAACUUUCGAUGCAAUUUUCUGCACCUACCAUGGUGACCACAGGUAAUGGGGAAUCAGGGUUCGAUUCCAGAGAGAGAGCCUGAGAAACGGCUACCACAUGCUAGGAAGGCAGCAGGCGAGCAAAUUACCCACUCCCGACGUGGGGAGGUAGUGAC
Molecule: non-coding RNA, 211 nt
Organism: Pelobates cultripes (western spadefoot toad)
Lineage: Eukaryota; Metazoa; Chordata; Amphibia; Anura; Pelobatidae
Source: the annotation of a GenBank genome assembly